GAUGAACGCUGGCGGCGUGCCUAAUACAUGCAAGUCGAGCGAACGGACGAGAAGCUUGCUUUUCUGAUGUUAGCGGCGGACGGGUGAGUAACACGUGGAUAACCUACCUAUAAGACUGGGAUAACUUCGGGAAACCGGAGCUAAUACCGGAUAAUAUUUUGAACCGCAUGGUUCAAAAGUGAAAGACGGUCUUGCUGUCACUUAUAGAUGGAUCCGCGCUGCAUUAGCUAGUUGGUAAGGUAACGGCUUACCAAGGCAACGAUGCAUAGCCGACCUGAGAGGGUGAUCGGCCACACUGGAACUGAGACACGGUCCAGACUCCUACGGGAGGCAGCAGUAGGGAAUCUUCCGCAAUGGGCGAAAGCCUGACGGAAGCACGCCGCGUGAGUGAUGAAGGUCUUCGGAUCGUAAAACUCUGUUAUUAGGGAAGAACAUAUGUGUAAGUAACUGUGCACAUCUUGACGGUACCUAAUCAGAAAGCCACGGCUAACUACGUGCCAGCAGCCGCGGUAAUACGUAGGUGGCAAGCGUUAUCCGGAAUUAUUGGGCGUAAAGCGCGCGUAGCGGUUUUUUAGUCUGAUGUGAAAGCCCACGGCUCAACCGUGGAGGGUCAUUGGAAACUGGAAAACUUGAGUGCAGAAGAGGAAAGUGGAAUUCCAUGUGUAGCGGUGAAAUGCGCAGAGAUAUGGAGGAACACCAGUGGCGAAGGCGACUUUCUGGUCUGUAACUGACGCUGAUGUGCGAAAGCGUGGGGAUCAAACAGGAUUAGAUACCCUGGUAGUCCACGCCGUAAACGAUGAGUGCUAAGUGUUAGGGGGUUUCCGCCCCUUAGUGCUGCAGCUAACGCAUUAAGCACUCCGCCUGGGGAGUACGACCGCAAGGUUGAAACUCAAAGGAAUUGACGGGGACCCGCACAAGCGGUGGAGCAUGUGGUUUAAUUCGAAGCAACGCGAAGAACCUUACCAAAUCUUGACAUCCUUUGACAACUCUAGAGAUAGAGCCUUCCCCUUCGGGGGACAAAGUGACAGGUGGUGCAUGGUUGUCGUCAGCUCGUGUCGUGAGAUGUUGGGUUAAGUCCCGCAACGAGCGCAACCCUUAAGCUUAGUUGCCAUCAUUAAGUUGGGCACUCUAAGUUGACUGCCGGUGACAAACCGGAGGAAGGUGGGGAUGACGUCAAAUCAUCAUGCCCCUUAUGAUUUGGGCUACACACGUGCUACAAUGGACAAUACAAAGGGCAGCGAAACCGCGAGGUCAAGCAAAUCCCAUAAAGUUGUUCUCAGUUCGGAUUGUAGUCUGCAACUCGAUUACAUGAAGCUGGAAUCGCUAGUAAUCGUAGAUCAGCAUGCUACGGUGAAUACGUUCCCGGGUCU
RNAcentral lists this ribosomal RNA (1370 nucleotides) under uncultured bacterium. RNAcentral describes it as "bacterial SSU rRNA". It matches the Rfam family "Bacterial small subunit ribosomal RNA", at positions 28 to 1381 of the family's 1533-position model. The record is from RNAcentral.